This is a long non-coding RNA of Dermochelys coriacea (leatherback sea turtle), 637 nucleotides long. RefSeq lists it as uncharacterized. The transcript has 2 exons. NCBI's taxonomy places the organism in Eukaryota, Metazoa, Chordata, Testudines, Dermochelyidae. The record is from RefSeq and is a predicted model, not a curated record.
UCAGGUUUCUGCUGGAAGGACUUGUGCUAUAUUGUCAUUUUACCAUUGAAAAAGAGUGCAAUUUGCUCCAGAAUUCUUCUUGUCUGACCAGCCCUAUGAAGAACAGCAGUAUACGAAGGAUAAGGAAAUGAAAUUGCAGCCCAAUAAUAUUAGCACAAGAUGUAAGAUAAAUAUAUAGAGAGCAGUGCAAUAUUGUAAAGAUCAAAUAGCCAAAGGACAUUAAAACCAACAAUAAGAAAUUCUAGGACCACUUGACCACUGAAAUUGUAAUUAAAAAGAAUGACGAGAUUGCUGAGAAAUUAUGUGAAUUCCUUCAAAUGAGCCUUUCCUACUGAGGACGAUAGGGUUGGGGAUAUUCCAAGCUCAAGGUUAAUUUUUACAGACAAUGCGUUGUCAGAGAAACGACCUCCGAAGAAGAGGCAUCAGAGCAACUAGAUAGUUUAAUGGUAGAAAAUCCCUGGGGCUGGGAACCACACUCAUCUAGGAGUUUUUAAAGGAACUAAACAAAAAGUAGCUAAACUAUUAACUAAAAUGCAUAAUAUAUCUUUAAUAACACGAUCCAUUCUUGAGGAUUCAAGAUUGGCCAAAAUGAUUAAGAAAGAAAGAAAGAAAGAAAGAAAGAAAGAAAGAAAGAAAG